CGGCGCGUCGCGUUGCCAAGAUCCGUCGCAUUGCUUCGCUCUCCUAAUUACUACCGAGUACUGUAGUAAGAAGGCGAGCGACGCAUCGUGACGCUUUGUGUACUUUGUGAGCCCGCGCCCGCCAUCGCUUGCACCAUCCCGCUUUGACAAUUGCCCAAGCGAUGGCGCAACUGAUGACAAAGCGUGACAAUUGCGCAAGUGAUGGCGCAAGCGAUGUCAAAGUGUGAUGGCGCCAUCGCUUGCGCCAUCACGCUUUCGCGUACAUCAAGCAUGAUGGUGCAUUUGUGCACCAUCACGCUUUGUGUACUUUGUGAGUCCAUGCUCGCCAUCUCUUGCACAAUUGUCCAUCACGCUCGCCAUCGCGCAAGCUUGAUGGCGAGCGUGAGUACACAAAAUGGUGAUGGUGAGUAGCUUUAAAGGAUUAUACCUCGAAAACGGUGCCAUUUACAUCAUAUGUUUAUUAGACAUUUUCGACUUGUUUCGAUGUCCCCUAUCAGUACAUAAAUUU
This 508-nucleotide long non-coding RNA is filed under the name Androctonus crassicauda. The record is from RNAcentral. Lineage: Eukaryota; Metazoa; Arthropoda; Arachnida; Scorpiones; Buthidae.